RNAcentral lists this ribosomal RNA (966 nucleotides) under Paenibacillus sp. E4BS9_pA. RNAcentral's name for it is "bacterial SSU rRNA". It matches the Rfam family "Bacterial small subunit ribosomal RNA", at positions 8 to 916 of the family's 1533-position model. Lineage: Bacteria; Bacillati; Bacillota; Bacilli; Caryophanales; Paenibacillaceae. The record is from RNAcentral.
AGAGUUUGAUCCUGGCUCAGGACGAACGCUGGCGGCAUGCCUAAUACAUGCAAGUCGAGCGGGUUUAUCCUUCGGGAUAAGCUAGCGGCGGACGGGUGAGUAACACGUAGGUAACCUGCCUUUAAGACUGGGAUAACUAUCGGAAACGAUAGCUAAGACCGGAUAACCGGUUUUCUCGCAUGAGAGAAUCGUAAACGAUAGCUAAGACCGGAUAACUGGUUUUCUCGCAUGAGAGAAUCAUAAAACACGGAGCAAUCUGUGGCUUGAAGAUGGGCCUGCGGCGCAUUAGCUAGUUGGUGAGGUAACGGCUCACCAAGGCGACGAUGCGUAGCCGACCUGAGAGGGUGAACGGCCACACUGGGACUGAGACACGGCCCAGACUCCUACGGGAGGCAGCAGUAGGGAAUCUUCCGCAAUGGACGCAAGUCUGACGGAGCAACGCCGCGUGAGUGAUGAAGGUUUUCGGAUCGUAAAGCUCUGUUGCCCUAGACGAACAGCAAGAGGAGUAACUGCCUUUUGUGUGACGGUAUAGGAGAAGAAAGCCCCGGCUAACUACGUGCCAGCAGCCGCGGUAAUACGUAGGGGGCAAGCGUUGUCCGGAAUUAUUGGGCGUAAAGCGCGCGCAGGCGGUCAUUUAAGUCUGGUGUUUAAUCCUGGGGCUCAACCCCAGUUCGCAUCGGAAACUGGAUGACUUGAGUGUAAGAGAGGAAAGUGGAAUUCCACGUGUAGCGGUGAAAUGCGUAGAGAUGUGGAGGAACACCAGUGGCGAAGGCGACUUUCUGGCUUAUAACUGACGCUGAGGCGCGAAAGCGUGGGGAGCAAACAGGAUUAGAUACCCUGGUAGUCCACGCCGUAAACGAUGCAUACUAGGUGUCGGGGAUUCGAUUUCUCGGUGCCGAAGUUAACACAGUAAGUAUGCCGCCUGGGGAGUACGCUCGCAAGAGUGAAACUCAAAGGAAUUGACGG